UACAGAGGUCUCAAGCGUUGUUCGGAUUCAUUGGGCGUAAAGCGCGCGCAGGCGGUCCUUUAAGUCUGAUGUGAAAGCCCACGGCUCAACCGUGGAGGGUCAUUGGAAACUGGGGGACUUGAGUACAGAAGAGAAGAGUGGAAUUCCACGUGUAGCGGUGAAAUGCGUAGAGAUGUGGAGGAACACCAGUGGCGAAGGCGACUCUUUGGUCUGUAACUGACGCUGAGGCGCGAAAGCGUGGGGAGCAAACAGG
This 253-nucleotide ribosomal RNA is filed under the name uncultured bacterium. RNAcentral's name for it is "partial 16S ribosomal RNA". It matches the Rfam family "Bacterial small subunit ribosomal RNA", at positions 524 to 776 of the family's 1533-position model. The record is from RNAcentral.